CGGGGUAUAGCGCAGCCUGGUAGCGCGUCUGCAUGGGGUGCAGAAGGUCGUAGGUUCAAAUCCUGCUACCCCGACCA
This 77-nucleotide transfer RNA is filed under the name Salinisphaeraceae bacterium. RNAcentral describes it as "tRNA-Pro". It matches the Rfam family "tRNA". Rfam says of the family: Transfer RNA (tRNA) molecules are approximately 80 nucleotides in length. Their secondary structure includes four short double-helical elements and three loops (D, anti-codon, and T loops). Lineage: Bacteria; Pseudomonadati; Pseudomonadota; Gammaproteobacteria; Salinisphaerales; Salinisphaeraceae. RNAcentral also lists the same sequence under 2 other names. The record is from RNAcentral.